AGACAGGUAGAAUGUGGUCGCCCUUACUACUUUGCGCAGCAAAGCAGUAAGGGAGGAAAGUCCGGGCUCCGGAGGAUAGCGCAGUAGGUUAAUACCUACCCAUUGAGGCUUAACCCUUGAUGAGGAUUGCCCCUAGCGGGGCCAUUACCGAACAUAAUUGCGGGUAAUGAGAGCCACAGAGACGAGACCUUGGGUUUUAAAAACUCAAGGGAGUGAAACGCGGCAAUCUCUGCGCGGAGCAAGGCGAAUAGGAGAUGAAUCCUUAUAUUUAGAAUUUGAGGAUACAUGCUUAUCCGGCGUGUUAUUAAUCUCGGGUAAUAAGCUGCUUGAGUAAUAGCAGUAACGCUAUUAUCGAGAGGAAUGAUCACUAAUCGAUAGCGAAAAAUCGCAUCAAGACAGAACCCGGCUUAUUCUACCUGUCUUUUU
RNAcentral lists this RNase P RNA (426 nucleotides) under Candidatus Omnitrophota bacterium. Its description in RNAcentral is "RNase P RNA component class A". It matches the Rfam family "Bacterial RNase P class A". Rfam says of the family: Ribonuclease P (RNase P) is a ubiquitous endoribonuclease, found in archaea, bacteria and eukarya as well as chloroplasts and mitochondria. Its best characterised activity is the generation of mature 5'-ends of tRNAs by cleaving the 5'-leader elements of precursor-tRNAs. Lineage: Bacteria; Pseudomonadati; Candidatus Omnitrophota. The record is from RNAcentral.